CGGUCUCAGUUCGGAUUGAAGGCUGAAAUUCGCCUUCAUGAAGCUGGAAUUGCUAGUAAUGGCAGGUCAGCAUACUGCCGUGAAUACGUUCCCGGGCCUUGUACACACCGCCCGUCACACCAUGAGAGUUGGAAAUACCCGAAGCCUGUGAGCUAACUGUAAAGAGGCAGCAGUCGAAGGUAGAGCCAAUGAUUGGGGUGAAGUCGUAACAAGGUAAC
RNAcentral lists this ribosomal RNA (218 nucleotides) under uncultured bacterium. RNAcentral describes it as "partial 16S ribosomal RNA". It matches the Rfam family "Bacterial small subunit ribosomal RNA", at positions 1283 to 1500 of the family's 1533-position model. The record is from RNAcentral.